UACGUAGGGGGCAAGCGUUAUCCGGAUUUACUGGGUGUAAAGGGAGCGUAGACGGUGAGACAAGUCUGAAGUGAAAGCCCGGGGCUCAACCCCGGGACUGCUUUGGAAACUGCCUGACUGGAGUGCUGGAGAGGCAAGCGGAAUUCCUAGUGUAGCGGUGAAAUGCAUAGAUAUCACGCAGAACUCCGAUUGCGAAGGCAGCGUACCGGCAUCCAACUGACGCUGAGGCACGAAAGCGUGGGGAUCAAACAGG
Molecule: ribosomal RNA, 253 nt
Filed under: uncultured bacterium
Lineage: Bacteria
Description: partial 16S ribosomal RNA
Rfam family: Bacterial small subunit ribosomal RNA
Source: RNAcentral